AUUGAACGCUGGCGGCAGGCUUAACACAUGCAAGUCGAACGAGUGGCGGACGGGUGAGUAAUGCUUGGGAAUCUAGCUGAUGGAGGGGGAUAACUACGGGAAACUGUAGCUAAUACCGCGUACCAUAGGAUGAGCCCAGAUGGGAUUAGCUAGUUGGUGAGGUAAUGGCUCACCAAGGCGACGAUCCCUAGCUGGUCUGAGAGGAUGAUCAGCCACACGGGGACUGAGACACGGCCCAGCCUCCUACGGGAGGCAGCAGUGGGGAAUAUUGCACAAUGGGCGCAAGCCUGAUGCAGCCAUGCCGCGUGUAUGAAGAAGGCCCUAGGGUUGUAAAGUACUUUCAGCCGGGAGGCGUUACCGACAGAAGAAGCACCGGCUAACUCCGUGCCAGCAGCCGCGGUAAUUC
This 406-nucleotide ribosomal RNA is filed under the name uncultured bacterium. RNAcentral's name for it is "partial 16S ribosomal RNA". It matches the Rfam family "Bacterial small subunit ribosomal RNA", at positions 30 to 526 of the family's 1533-position model. The record is from RNAcentral.